This 717-nucleotide ribosomal RNA is filed under the name Bacillus pumilus. RNAcentral's name for it is "bacterial SSU rRNA". It matches the Rfam family "Bacterial small subunit ribosomal RNA", at positions 538 to 1249 of the family's 1533-position model. The record is from RNAcentral. Lineage: Bacteria; Bacillati; Bacillota; Bacilli; Caryophanales; Bacillaceae.
GUGAUGCCUGAAGAUAUUAUGGCCUAAGGGCUCGCCCGCGGUUUCUUAAUUCUGAUGUGAAAGUCCCCGGCUCAGCCCGGGAGGGUCAUUGCCAAACUGGGAAACUUGAGUGCAGAACAGGAGAGUGGAAUUCCCCGUGUCGCGGUGAAAUGCGUUGAGAUGUGGAGGAACACCAGUGGCGAAGGCGACUCUCUGGUCUGUAACUGACGCUGAGGAGCACAAGCGUGGGGAGCGAACAGGAUUAGAUACCCUGGUAGUCCACGCCGUAAACGAUGAGUGCUUACUGUUAGGGGGUUUCCGCCCCUUAAUGCUGCUACUAACGCAAUGGGCACUCCGCCUGGGGAGUACGGUCGCAAGACUGAAACUCAAACGAAUUGACGGGGGCCCGCCGAAGCGGUGGAACAUGUGGUUUUAUUCGAAGCAACGCGAAGAACCUUACCAGGGCUUGACAUCCUCUGACAACCCGACAGAUAGGGCUUUCCCUUCUGGGACAGAGUGACGGGUGGUGCAUGGUUGUCAUCAGCUCCUGUCGUGAGAUGUUGGGUUAAGUCCCGCAACGAGCGCAACCCUAGAUCUUAGUUGCCAGCAUUCAUCUGGGCACUCUCCGGUGACUGCCGGUGACUAUCCGGAGGAAGGUGGGGAUGACGUCUGAUCAUCAUGACCCCUUAAGACCUGAGCUACUCUCAUGGACUACAGUAGACCGGUAACAAAGAGCUG